CGGGACGGGUGAGUAACACGUGGAUAACCUACCUAUAAGACUGGGAUAACUUCGGGAAACCGGAGCUAAUACCGGAUAAUAUAUUGAACCGCAUGGUUCAAUAGUGAAAGACGGUUUUGCUGUCACUUAUAGAUGGAUCCGCGCCGCAUUAGCUAGUUGGUAAGGUAACGGCUUACCAAGGCAACGAUGCGUAGCCGACCUGAGAGGGUGAUCGGCCACACUGGAACUGAGACACGGUCAGACUCCUACGGGAGGCAGCAGCA
RNAcentral lists this ribosomal RNA (263 nucleotides) under uncultured Staphylococcus sp. RNAcentral's name for it is "partial 16S ribosomal RNA". It matches the Rfam family "Bacterial small subunit ribosomal RNA", at positions 98 to 355 of the family's 1533-position model. The record is from RNAcentral. Lineage: Bacteria; Bacillati; Bacillota; Bacilli; Caryophanales; Staphylococcaceae.